AGUCCUAGCCGUAAACGAUACUCGCUAGGUGUCGGCCACGGUGCGACCGUUGUCGGUGCCGUAGGGAAGCCGUGAAGCGAGCCACCUGGGAAGUACGGCCGCAAGGCUGAAACUUAAAGGAAUUGGCGGGGGAGCACCACAACGGGUGGAGCUUGCGGUUUAAUUGGAUUCAACGCCGGAAAUCUUACCGGGACCGACAGCAAUAUGAAGGCCAGGCUGAAGACUUUGCCGGAUUAGCUGAGAGGUGGUGCAUGGC
RNAcentral lists this ribosomal RNA (256 nucleotides) under uncultured archaeon. RNAcentral's name for it is "partial 16S ribosomal RNA". It matches the Rfam family "Archaeal small subunit ribosomal RNA", at positions 743 to 998 of the family's 1478-position model. The record is from RNAcentral.